Molecule: ribosomal RNA, 253 nt
Filed under: uncultured bacterium
Lineage: Bacteria
Description: partial 16S ribosomal RNA
Rfam family: Bacterial small subunit ribosomal RNA
Source: RNAcentral
UACGAAGGGGGCUAGCGUUGCUCGGAAUCACUGGGCGUAAAGCGCACGUAGGCGGAUCUUUAAGUCAGGGGUGAAAUCCUGGAGCUCAACUCCAGAACUGCCUUUGAUACUGGGGAUCUCGAGUCCGGAAGAGGUGAGUGGAACUCCGAGUGUAGAGGUGAAAUUCGUAGAUAUUCGGAAGAACACCAGUGGCGAAGGCGGCUCACUGGUCCGGUACUGACGCUGAGGCGCGAAAGCGUGGGGAGCGAACAGG